ACUUGGAGGCAUAUUUUUCAGGGCCAAAAAAUCGUCUUAUACACCGGCAAAUACGGUACUUAAAACUGGUCAUGAGUAGGGCUGUCUUGAAAACUUCUAAUAGCGGGGAAUGAUUUAUUCUCUUUAUUCGUGUAGCUUUCUUCUUUGUUAGUCCUUUUGCAAGUUUUUUUUUUUUUCAAUAUAAUUGGUUCAUCUUAGCCUGGCUGCUUUUCUUACAUGGUUUGGGGCAUUUUUAUUUGCACUGAUGUCUUUAUGCGUUGUUUAAGAUUAAUUUCUAAUUACAGUCUAUUCGAGAUACUCCAGCCAAAAAUGCACAAAAAUCAAACCAGAAUGGAAAAGACUCAAAACCAUCAACACCAAGAUCAAAAGGUCAAGAAUCGUUCAAAAAACAGGAAAAAACUCCUAAAACACCGAAAGGGCCUAGUUCUGUAGAAGACAUUAAAGCAAAAA
Long non-coding RNA from Hipposideros armiger (great roundleaf bat), 450 nucleotides. RefSeq lists it as uncharacterized. The transcript has 2 exons. Lineage: Eukaryota; Metazoa; Chordata; Mammalia; Chiroptera; Hipposideridae. The record is from RefSeq and is a predicted model, not a curated record.